RNAcentral lists this ribosomal RNA (253 nucleotides) under Mictis profana. Its description in RNAcentral is "partial large subunit ribosomal RNA". Lineage: Eukaryota; Metazoa; Arthropoda; Insecta; Hemiptera; Coreidae. The record is from RNAcentral.
UUAUUUUUAUUUAUUUAUUGGGUUUAAGUUUUUAUUAGAAUUUUUUAUUUAAUUUUUUAUUAUAAGUAAUAAUGAUAGAAUUAGUAGUUUUGAAUAUUUAGAUAUAGGAACUCGGCAAAUAUUAUUUCCGCCUGUUUAACAAAAACAUGUCCUUUAGAUUUUAUAAUUAUAGGUCUAGCCUGCCCAGUGAUGAACUUAAACGGCCGCAGUAUUUUGACUGUGCGAAGGUAGCAUAAUCAUUUGUCUUUUAAUU